GCCUUAUAACUAGUCCUAAUCUAAUUAGAAAACUAAAAUAAAAAAAACUCCUAAUUAUUUUAAUAUGGAAAUUCGGUCAAAAGUCAUUUUAUCUAGGACUCUUGGACUGAAUAUUGACAUAAAAAUUUAAACUAAGUAAAUAAAUAAAUAAAUAAAUAAAAAUAAAAAUAAAACUUUACAACUUGGGCCACUUUGACAAUUUGGCCUGAUUUUCAACUAAGUAUGGAUGGAUUUCUUGAUUGGGCUGGGAAUUUGCUUAUUGGGCCUCGCCUUCAAGAAUUUGGGCUUUUGUGACUCGUAUCAUUCCCCCUUCCUCAAAAAGAUUCGUCCUCGAAUCUAAAAAAUCAAAUGAACUCGACUUUCCUCUAUCGAACGGGACUAAUGGCAAUUGAGUCCACUGAAAAGAAUAGCCAUGAGAUAGUAAAUAGCAACGGAAACAAGCUUGUAGUCCAAUCAUAAGCAUAACAGAACAAGUAUAACGCAUGUGAAUGGACAGAUUCAGAUUACCAUGCAAACAAUUACAUUGAAAAUUUCAGAUUUGAUUUGAGUGAAAAUUCUCUUUGAGUUCUUCAAGGAUUUUCUCUUGAGUUUUCUUUAGAAGUUGUUUUAACAAUCUUUUUGAUUGUGGGAGCCAUCUUCAACCUUCUUCUUGCAAUUGAUAUUCUUUGGAGGGGAGAUUAGAGCCGUUUGAAGGGAGUUGUGAGAUCUUUCGGGAUUUCAAGGCUUCUUAGGACUUAUCUUUUAAUUUCUUACUGUCAAUUCUUUCUUUAUUUCUGCUUGUGCCGAAUCUUUAUCUAAUUUAUUUUCUGUUCUUAUUGUGUUUUCAGCCUUUUUCUAUCUUAAGGAAUUAGCCCAAAAAUCCCCAAUUUCUAGGGUUCUAGCCGAUUCAUCCAUACUCUUUUUUGGGAGAAAUUAGAUUGCUGAAAUUUGGGGAAAACUAUCUGGGUGUUCAAUUGGGCAGAAUCGCAAUCUCUUCUAGGGUUUCAAGAUUCCUUAUUAACACUUAUUUCUAUUCUCUAUUUGAUUCUUUACUGUUUUGGGGAUUUUAUUUCAGAUCUGAAAAUUCAAAAAUUCUAAUCUUUUAAUUUUCUAUUUCGUUUCAGAUCUAAUUGUUUAGGGUUUUCGUAGGAGUUUCUCGUGACUUGGCAACUCGAUCUUGGUCUGCGCGCAACCCCGUAUCAAGUACCCAUCAUGUCGAUAGUACUUCUCGUAGGCACAUAAUCUAAAGAAUUCACCAAAGUCAGCAUCGUUGACAUAUAAAUCUUUAAGAAAUACAAACCCCAUUAACUUAGCAUCCAAAAUAUUUAGCAAUGCAUACCUUCGAGAUAGUGCAUCAGCCACUACGUUUUCCUUACCUUUCUUAUAUUUAAUAACGUAGGGAAAAUAUUCGAGAAAUUCUACCCACUUAGCGUGUCGCUUAUUCAACUUGUGUUGCCCCUUUAAAUACUUCAAGGACUCAUGAUCGGUGUGUAUGACGAAUUCCUUGGGCCAAAGAUAGUGUUGCCACGUUUCUAAGGCUCGGAUCAACGAAUAGAGCUCCUUGUCAUAUGUUGGAUAGUUUAAGACAGCACCAUUUAGUUUCUCGCUAAAAUAGGCAAUAGGACGACCAUCUUGCAUCAACACAGCUCCAAUGCCUAAACCUGAUGUAUCACAUUCUAACUCGAAAGUUUUAUCAAAGUUAGGCAAAGCUAAUAACGGUGCAUGAGUUAGACAAUCUUUAAUUUUCAAAAAGGAUUUUUCUUGUUCCUCUCCCCAAAUGAAGUUGGAAUUCUUACGAAUAACCCCGGUUAAAGGUGCGGCUAAGGUGCUGAAAUUUGGCACGAAUCGACGGUAAAAACUUGCUAGUCCAUGGAAACUUCGGACUUGGGAGACAUUCGUCAGACGGGGCCAUUCUUGGAUCGCCUUGAUCUUCUCUUGAUCGACUUCAAGACCCUCUGAGCUAACAACAAAACCUAAAAACACAACCUUGUUAGUGCAGAAAUCACAUUUCUUCAAAUUAGCAUACAAGGUUUCUUUUCUCAAUACUUCCAAAAUAGAUUUUAAAUGUAAAAUAUGUUCAUCCAAAUUUUUACUAUAGAUCAAUAUAUCGUCGAAGUAUACUACGCAAAAUCUACCAAUAAAAGGUCUUAAAACGUGAUUCAUAAGCCUCAUGAAUGUGCUUGGGGCAUUCGUUAAGCCAAAUGGCAUAACGAGCCAUUCGUAAAGCCCAUGCUUCGUUUUGAACGCAGUCUUCCACUCAUCUCCCUCACGCAUCCGUAUUUGGUGAUAAUCGCUCUUAAGGUCAAUUUUUGAAAAUAAACUCGCGCCACUUAGCUCGUCAAGCAUAUCAUCCAAUCGUGGUAUAGGAUGACGAUACUUGAUAGUUAUUUUGUUUAUAGCACGGCAGUCCACGCACAUCCUCCACGUUCCAUCCUUCUUCGGAACUAGUAAAAUAGGCACGGCGCAUGGACUAAGGCUUUCACGCACAUAGCCCUUUUCAAGGAGUUCAUUUACUUGCUUUUGUAAUUCUUUCGUCUCUUCAGGAUUGCUCCGGUAAGCAGGUCAGUUUGGAAUUGCGGCUCCCGGCACAAGAUCGAUUUGGUGUUCAAUUCCACGAAUAGGUGGUAACCCACUUGGGAUUUCUUCCGGGAAUACGUCUUGAAAUUCCUGCAACACAGACAAAAUAGAAGAAGGCAAUUUGUCAUCAAAUUCGUUAGUGCCAAGCAAGCUCUCCUUGUACAAAAGAACCAACAAUGGUUGUUUCAAUAGCAUCGAUUUUCGAACUUCCCUCUCUUUUACAAACAAAUUCUUUUUUUCAAUCUCAUCACUCAUUUCUUUUGAAUCACUCUCUCUUUUUUUAUCACUCAUCUUUUUGUUUUUCUUCUUUUCUUCACUCUUUUCUUUAUUCUUUUCAUUUUUUUGCUCUCUCUCGAUUUCUUUUGAUUUUUCAAUCGAACUCCUCAUUUUGAGUUGAUCUUCGUACACUUGUUUCGGUGAUAACGGAGCUAGAGUCACCAUUCUUCCCAUAUGUUUGAAAGAGAAUCGAUUUGUGUAACCAUCAUGAAUUGCUUGCUUGUCGAAUUGCCACGGACGUCCCAAAAGAAGAUGCCCCGCAUGCAUCGGUACAACGUCGCACAUCACUUCAUCUUGAUAUUUUCCGAUUGUGAAUGAAAUGAGCACUUGUUUUGUUACCUUUAAUUCUCCACCAUCGUUAAGCCAUUGGAGUUUAUACGGAUGGGGAUGUUUGGUGGUGGCCAAUUCGAGUUUCUCCACCAUCAAUGUGCUAGCCACAUUUGUACAACUUCUGAUACGACCAUGCCCCGGGCACACUUUUGGAUCAGCUCCCUAAGCAUUGUUUGCAAAUCCAUGCGAGCUGAAUUAGUUCAAUUUCAUUUCGUUAAGCUCCGUUUAGCUCGUUUCCUGCUCACUCGAGCUCAAGUCAACUCACUCAAGCUCAAUUCAGCUCAAUCUUAACCCAAUGAGCUUAUUUUUAGCUUUCUUUAGCUUGCAUUUAUUUUGCUGAAAUAAACCAUUUAAUUUGUCAUUAGUUAAAUUAGUUGUUUAUCUUAAGUUAGUUAAUUUGUUAAAAUCUGGACAAAUAAUUAAUUAAGUGUUUUAAUUAUAUCUAAAUUAAAUACUUAAUUAAUUAUGAUGUUUUAAAUAUGUCUAAAAUUGUUAAUAUGUAUGGCCAAAUUUAAUGUGCAAAUUAUUGAGUUCAUAUGCUGCUAAUUUAAUGUGUUUAAAAUGCAUUUAACUUGCUGAUUUAAUUUGCUGCAGGUUCAUGAACGGAUUGGUGCAAUGUAUGGGAGUGUGCAUGCACAAUUGAGGUUCAAUGGAUGGCAUUUAAAGGAGCACAUGCAUUUGGGACGUUCAUGCAAGAGGGAGUUGCUGAAAGUUCAUGUAUUUGAAGAUUCAUGGAUCAUAUUUAUGGGGGAAAAUACAUGGGACGUUUCAUGCAUGAUUCAUGCAUUUUCAAGAUGACCAUUCAAGUAUUUUAGGCACAUUAAUGCCUCAUUCAGCCAAGGGAGAUGUAGGAUCAUUAAAGAGCUGCACAUUCAUGGAAUUAUGGAGAUUCUUCAAGGCUAAGGAUGCAUGAAUGCAUCAAGUGAAGCAUCAUGAUGGUUCGGCCAAUUCAUGUACCAUCUUCAAGCAUGAACUGGAUUUUAAUGCUAUUUGUGUGAACAUGUUAAAUACCUGUGUGAACAGAAUUUAAGUUAGUGUGAACAACAUAGAUGCCGAAUAUCAAUAGGCAUUUUAGGCUUAUAAAUAGCUUACUUGUUUAUUGUAAAAGGUUACAGAAUUUGAUCAAUUAAACUUAAUAGAACUUUUGUUCUUGUGAGGUUACCUCCUCUCUUCUUUCAUUCGAGUCUCGAAGCGACUUAUCUAGCUUGCUAGUGGUGUCAAUCCGAACUCCAUUAAACUUAUCACCGAAUCGGUGUGGCGUUCAACCAUCUUCCUAUACCUUUGGUUCUUACCUCCAUAUAGGUAACGGGUCAAGGUCCCCUUCUAUCCUUCAUCAAAAUUCACCUUAAGCAAUAUAAGACUCGGGCAAUACUUUUUAGUAUUGAAUCAUUCUUAAAGUUUGAGUUCUUUAUCCAUUUCCAUUUAUUUAUCAUCUUUGUAACUUAAUUCUUUGUUAAACCGAACCUAUCUUUCAUCAAACCAAAACCCAUCCUUUGAACCCAUUUUGCCUACCUUCCGCUUAUAAAACAUUCAAACUCUAUCUAUCUACAAAUUUGAACGAGCUUCUCGUUGACGAUCGGGCAUCUUAAGUGAACCCGACUCAAUUAAUCAGGCCGGAUCACAUCACAUGUUAAAUACCUGUGUGAACAGAAUUUAAGUUAGUGUGAACAACAUAGAUGCCGAAUAUUAAUAGGCAUUUUAGGCUUAUAAAUAGCUUACUUGUUUAUUGUAAAAGGUUACAGAAUUUGAUUAUUGAAAACUUGAUUGUGAGGUUUCCUCCUAUCCUAUUUCGUACGAGUCUCGUUCUGACUUAUCUAGCUCGCUAGUGGCGUCAACCCGACUUCUUGAACUUAUCACCAUCCUGGUGUGGCGUUCAUCCACCUUUUUAUACCUUUGGUUCCUACCUUUCUAUAGGUAACGGGUCAAGGUCCAUCUUCGACAAUCUAUUAAACCCACCUUAAGCAAUAUAAGUCCCGGGGCAAUACUUCAUAUAGUAUUAAAUCGUUCUUCGCUUGAGUUCUAUUUUUCCAUUCCAUUUUAACUAUUAAAUUAUAAACAAUAUUUCUUUAUUUCACUGAGCCUAUCAAACAUCUACCCAAACCAUCUUUUGAACCCAUUUUCUCAACUUUCGCUAUAAAAAAUCAUCUAACUCCAUCUAUCUACAAAAUCGAACAAACUUCUCGUCGACGAUCGGGCAAUCAAGUGAAUCGACUCAAUCAACCGAGCCAGAUCACAUCAUUUGGUAUCAGAGCUUGCAAAAUGAGGAGCACCGACGUUCGUAGCUAUCUCAAAAGAUAGGUUUGUAAAAAAAAGUUUCAAAAAAAUCAAAAAAAUCUUGAGUUGUAAUUUUAUUUUAUUUUCUCUUUUCUUUAUUGUAUUUACCUUACUAUUGUAUUGGAGUAUCACAAAAAAAAUUGAAAUUCAAAAAAAAAAAGAAGUGAGCAAAAAAAGAAAAAAAGUAAAGAAAAGAACAAAAAAAAGUGAAAAGUCUUGCGAGUUUUAUUUUCAUCUCUUAUUACUCCGAUCAUCAAGUUUCCCUACACCCAUCCCAACGCCACACUUUAAACCAAUUUUUUUCUUUAUUUAGCCUACCCUACACCCGACGUUAUCCCUUGUAACCCAUUUUGAAACCGACCCUCAAGCAGCAAAUUAAGUCUAUCGAGACGAAUUACGAAUUUGUGAGACGAGGUUGAGUGGUAAAAGGCAAGAGAGCGUGAGUACAUUAGAGUGAGCAAAAGCCUAAAAGAGAGUUCAAACUCGAGAGUGAGUGAAUUUUUCUUUUUGAGCGAAUUUGUGAGGUUUGUGGUAAGGUAUUUAUUUUCUUUAUUUUUUUUUGAACAUUUUCUUUUCCAUUACUUAAUCAUGUCUCGAGAAACAUUUUCCGAAUCAGAAUUCCAAUAUUUGAUGCAAGAGAUAAGUUGCAUGGUGAAAUUAAAAUUUGAUAAGUUGCAUGAUCGAUUGGAUCGAGUGGAGGAAAGAGCCCGAUGGAAGCCAAACUCACCAGGUCAAGAGACGAAGAUAAGAUCAUCACGAAAGCACACAUCCAAUGAUUAUUCGAGAAGAGAUUCAUACCAUGAUUCCUAUUCAAUGAGGAACUCAAGACGAAGCAAAGCAAGUUUUGAGUUUGAAGCUUUUCAAGGUGACGAACGAGAAAUCACAAGUAGUCAUUCGUAUGCACCAAGGUAUUCAUCUGCCAAGAAUCAAUCUCGAAGAGGUGAUCAUUUUUUGUAUGAAAGUCGAUCCAAUUAUACCCAACAAGAGUCAUUUAGUGCUGAUUCAUUUGUAACAUCUCCAUCCUAUAAUGAAGGAGCGAGGCAAAAAGAAAAAGAAAUAAGAAGAAAAGAAAGACAAGAAAUGUUGAUGAGAGAAAAUGAGCAUAUAUGGAAUGAAAUCGAGAGACGAAAAAAAGAAAUGAAAGAAAAGGAACAAGAAAUCAAAAAAGUGAGAGAAAAACAAAAUGAAGAGAAAGAAUUCGAAAAAGAAAUUGAGAUUGAACAAGAGUGCAAGCGAGAAAGAGAAAUCGAAAGAAAAGAAGAAAAGAUUGAAAAAGAAAAAGAAAUCCAAAAAGGGAGUGAGGUCAAAAAUAAAAUUGAAAAUGAGAGAGGAAAUGAAAAGAGAAAAAAAGAAGUUGAGAUUAGAAAAGAGUUUGAAAAAGAGAAGAGUGAAAAGGGAGAAAGCAAUCGAGCAAAAGUGAGGAAUGUUCUAACUAACCCAUUUGCAAGUUUGCCGUGUAAAUUUUCUUCUUUCCAGGUUUCCAAGGAACCGAUUGACAAGUUUCGACUUCAAUACCUUUCCAUGGAUAGAAGGUUCACUUUGGCUGAAAAAGGUAGUGUUCUCAACGAUCCUAGUUCGCCUAUGCCAAAAGGUAAGCAAGGUAUGAGUCUUGAAAUUUUUAAAGCACCUCUGCCUUUUUCGAUUGUUGAUAGGUCCUUUGUUGAUGAUUUGGUCUUUUGAAAGAAUCUAAACUUUGACGUGGCUACUUGUCAUUCUUUGAUUGAUGAUGACCCAUUUGUUUUGUCUGAUGAUAAAAAGAUUCUUGCUUUUGAAAAAUAUUAUUUUCUUGAUGAUAUUAGUUGUUUGUCAUUAACUUGCAAUGGAAUACAUGUUUUGGAUCCGCAAGAUGAAAGUCCAUAUAAAAUGUUCAUUCUCACUGAUCAUGUUGAAAAGCCUACCACGAAGAUUAGGCACCCAUUCCUCCAGGUUCCCUUGGGACCCCAGGUGAAAUUAUAUCAGAUAUUACAGGCCAGACCCCUAAGUGUGGGCCGCUGCAUUGACUAGGCCGCAUUCGAGCAGAUUCAAUUGGCUGAUGCGGUACGAGCCCUCUUAAAGACUGACCCGUGGGGGCUUUUCUUCGAGAUCAUCGAGCUAACGUAUCUCGAGUUUACAUUAGAACUCUGCUCGACGUUCCAUCUUCAGACCGUCAUAACCAACUUCAACGAUCCUGGAACGGUCCAGUUCUGCCUCGGUGGUCUAGUACGCCAGUUGAGCGUACCCGAGUUUGAGAUUGCACUAGGGCUGUACACAGAGGAGUUCAUGGACGACAAUGACCUCGACACCCUCCACCGCCACAUCCACUACUCCUCCUCGAAAUGUUGGAGGGACCUCGUCCCUGCCUCGACCACCUACUAUCCUAGCCACUCCAAGGCAUCGGCUCUCCCUCCUUCCUUGAGGUAUCUACACACAAUCUUGGCUCACACUCUGAUAGGGAGACGAGAGAGCACCGGCGUCGUCACCACCCAUGACACUUAUUUAUUAUGGGGUAUGGCAAAUGGGCAUGUCAUUGACCUCGCCUACUUUAUUGCCUUUGCCAGUCGCCACUAGACGGAGCGACACAGAAGAUGAUGUGAUCCGGCCCGGGUAGAUGAGUCAAAUGCACGUAGUUGCCCGAUCAUAGUUCGAGAGAGUCAUUCGUGUCUCGGAUUUUAGUAAUAAAAGUAAAAUAAUGGAUUAGAAUAAGCGGAAGGUUUCAAGAAGGGUAAGUUUAGUAAUAGGUUCGGUUAUGUGUAGCAAAGAUGGGUGAUGGAUAAAUGGGUCGGUUUGGUAUAACAAGAAAAUAAUUUGAAGGAUGGGAAUGGAAAACAAACUCAACGUCAGGAAUGAUUCAACACUAAGAAGUGUCACCCCGGUUCCUAUAUUGUUAAGGUGAAAGUAUGGAUAGAUGGAUAGGUGAACGCCACACCAAGAUUGGUGAUAAGUUCAAACAAGACGAUUGACGCCACUAGCACAAGCCAGAUAAGUCUUUCGAAACUUGUACGAGAUAUGAGAGGAAGCAACCUCACAAGAACAAAUGUUUAUUAACAAUUUUGGCAAAAGUCCCUUACAAUUGAAAGAAAACAAAUACUUAUAGGCACAUAGAUGACCAUUCAAAUUUGGCAUCUAGGUGUUCACACAAUAAUAAAAACGUUCACACUAAUGUAUUAAAAUAGUUCAUAAAUUCGGCAGAUUCAUGAACUAGUUGAAUGGACACUUUCUUCCCCCUAAGUGUGUGCAUGAAUGCUUAAUCAUAAAGAAAGGCUUCAAGUGACUUGUAUGUGCACCGAAGGUUGUAUUCAUCUCCUUGGGACGUUCAUGCACUUGUAUGGAACAUGUAUCCUCAUAAUUAAACUCUUUAAUAUCAUGUAGGUUCAUAAAUGACAGCAUGAACCUAGUAAAUUCGUUCUCCCCUUUGUGCAUACACUUAAUUCAAUCAAUGUGUUGAAUUAUUGAGUUAAUUCCUUCCUUUGGACGUUCUUGAACCCAUCCAUGCAUGUGUUACUGCUUAUAGGUCAAUUCAAAGUGUGAACAGCUACUUCUUGGCUGAAUAAGUGCCUUGGAAAGUUAGGAGACUGCCACCAUACAUGCACUUAAGCCAUUCAUGCAUUCUAUCAUCCCAUGCAUUUGAUCCAUUCAUGGACCACCAGCCUUUAAUGUCCAUACAUGCAUUCGACACAUGCAUGAAUUUGUAGAAACCUUGCAUCUAGCCGUACAUGCACCAGCAUUUAAUACUUCUUCAUUCAUGAGUGUGGAAUGUCCAAAAGAGAUGUUUCUUCAUCCAUACAUUGUACCGUCCAAAGGGAUGUACCUACAUGAGAUAAAAAAGUCAUUAAGAUAUCUCAUGGACACUCAUAAAUUCGGCAUGAUGUGAACACAUUAAUGUCAUGCAUUAAUUCAGCUAUGUGAACAUAAUCAAUUUAUGUAAUGACUAUGGCAUAUUAAUAACAAAUAUUAAUAUAAGACAAGUUUAAUGCUUAAAUAAAUAUGUGCAAAUUUUUAUUUAAUGCAUUAAAGACAAAACCGAGUUUAAACUAAAAUGAGCUAAGCUUUAGCUCGUGAGCUAAAGUUGAGCUGAGGCUAAACUCCUAAGCUGAAGUUGAGCUAAGGUUUAGCUCGUGAGCUGAAUAUGAGCUAGGAGUGAGCUCAGUUUAGCUCAGGCAAGUUGGAUCGAGCUUGAAUAAGCUGGAUUUGAGCUGGACGGAGCUCGUGGAGCUGGAAACGAGCUGGGAUCAGCUUGCCAACAUGUCAAUGCUUGGCUUGACAGACUUGUUCAAUGAAGUUCGCGGGGCGUGCUCGUAUCAGAAGAGGGGUCAUCUCUAUCGGGCCCUAUGUGACUCGAUUGGCUCGGCACUUUGGGCCCCUCAACACGGUAGCGCAAUCAUUCGCCCUCACUCUCAUUGGCCAGAUGUCGACACAGGGAUCUCGAGCAUGCUAAGUAUGAGGAUGAUCGAGAAAUGACGUGGCACAUACCCUCCUCAGUACCGCCUCACCCAGUCCAUCGAAGAGGAGGACCCAAAGGACAUUACUAAUGAUGUCCCUCCACGUCACGAGGAUCCACCAACUCAGCCACCACCCCCUCUCGUCCAGUUCAUGCGGCGGCUUCAUACUCUGACAUCUCUGAGCGCCCUACUCGAUUCGAGCAACAGUGUUUUCAGCGCUUCGAUAACAUUGAUGCUACUCUACAGCAGAUUUGUCAGCACUUUCACAUCUCAUCACCACGCCCACCUCACGAACCAUCUAGCGAUAAAGAUGUCUAAAAAUUUUUAUUUAUUAUUUUAUGUUUUAACUUUUAUUCUAUUUUAAGACUAUUUUUUAUUUUUCUUUAAGCUUAUUUUUAUUAGGUUUUAUUAUUAUUAUUUUACAAUUUUUAAUUUCAGCCAUUUCUUUACGAGUAAUUAUGCUUCUUUAUAUUCCCUAAAAAGUUCCUGAUUCUAUCACAGUUAUAAAGAGCUCCAAAGCUCAUCAUCGCAGAAGAACUAAAAACUCCACCGAGAAAGGUUCUCCACGACUGCCAUGUCCUGUUCGACCAUGACCAUAGCUACCACUAGAUAUGAUAUUCUUUUGGUGCAGGAUUUAUGGAUUAAUGAACCUUGAUCAUCACCGAAGUAUCCUCCUCCACUCUCAUCAUUGCUUUGGCCUAUUACUUUCUAUCACUCCAAUUCAAGGAGUUCAUUCAUCAUUCAGGAAGUUUCACUUCUCUCCCUAUCUUAUGAUUAUAAAUCUAUCUUUUUCAAUAUAUCUACCUUUGUACAUUGAGGGCAAUGUACAUCUUAAGUGUGGGGGGUCUUUUAUAUCAUCAUUAGAAAUCCUUGAAUUCUUUCUUCUUCUCACAUGAAUCACUCAUAUCACUAUUAGAAUGAAUUUUAAUUAACUUAUGAUUUUUAUUGAUAUGUCUUGAAUUAAACAUAGGCAUUUAUGCGUUGAUUGUUUAAACUUUAAGAUAUUAGGGAAUCAAGCAUGAUAAGUUAAUUUUUGAAGACUUAAAAACUUUUAGUUUGUUUCCCUAAGUUUAGGUAUUAUCUUGAGUUGGAAUUCACAAGUUUAAACAUCAAAAAGCCAUAAUUUUUGUGAGAUCUUGAGCCUUUAGAGCAUCUAUUAUUUCUUUUAUGCUCACUUUCAUUAUGAAUCAACAAAAAUUCCUAUCGAAUCGACCUACCGGGUGGGUAUAAUAUAAGUACGAGCUUUAAUAUGUCUGAUUUAUCUCUUUUUGAAGUAGGUCCUAAUUUAAGGACAAAUCGCUUUGAGGAGGGGGAUGAUACGGCCAUGCCCCGAGUCAUACCUAGCUAGAGAAGGAGCCUUUGGAGCUACCUUAAGGUCCUAUUACCUGAGCACGAGCCAAGCACUUCAAAGAGGCUAUUUCAGCCUUAGUAGAUCAAGUGUAUGGCGAGACUUUGGCUGGACACAUCGAGAGAGCUUGGACCAGCCCUACGAGUGCACCUUGCAAUCUUUUUCGAGCCGAACUAAGCUCAAACUUAGCUCCAUGAGCUCAAUUCCAGCUCAGUUUAUUUUAUACAUUUCUUUAGUUGUUGGAAUAAAUUAAAUAUUUUUAGUUAAUUUAGUUAGUUCAGCUCAACUAGUUAAGUUGUAUUUUAAUGUGUCUAAAAUCUGGACAUUUUAAUUAUGUUUUAAAUGUGUCUUAGUUUAAUACACAUUUAUUAGCUAUUUUAUUAUGUCUAAGUUUAGGACGAAUUUAUUUCAUUUUACAAUUCAAUUUGUCCAACCGAAUUUUAUGAUUACUUUUAAUAUGUCCCAGCUACUGCUGAAUUUAAUAUGUCUUAAGACUUAAGACUAACUAAUUGCUUAAUUAAAUUGAUGCAGCUACAUACAUUGGACGACAUUAAUAUGGUGUGCUGAUGGUUCAACUCUUCCAAGCACCUCUUUGUGUAUGCCAAGGGCCAAAAGUGUGCCUCAAAAUCCCUACUGUGCCUCAUCUGGCACCCCUGAAUCCUCAAAAUCCUGUACCUUUGGUGGUUACUUGAGUAUCUGUAGAUAAAAUCCAAAAGUGUGGAGCGGAGAAAUUCAGAGGCAAAGUUGAUGAUGAUCCUACAAAAGUUGAGUAUUGGUUAAUGAACAUAAAGAGAGUCUUCAUGGAGUUGAUAUGCAAUCUUGAAGAUUGUUUGAUUGUGUAGCCUCGUUACUAAAAGAUGAAGCGUACUUAUGAUGGGACACAUUGAGCACGAUGGCAUCGCCUGAUUGUGUUAGCUGGGAUUUCUUUUAGACUGAAUUUAAGAAAAAGUAUGUUAGUGAUACGAUCUUGUCUCGUGAGUUGAUUUCGAGUUGUAGUGUUGCCCGAUCGUAAAAUAGAUAAGUUUUGUUCAAUUUGGAGUUGAGUGAAUUUGGCUAAGUGUAGGCUAAAGCAAAGAUGGUUUUUAAGUGUUUUGGAAUAGUCUAAGUGAAUGUUUCAGUUAAACAAAGAAAAAUAAGAUAACUUUGAAAAGAAUAAUUCGGAUGGAUGGAAAAAGGCUUAAGGUCCAUGAAAGAACCAAUAAUAUAAGGAGUAUUGACCGGAAUCUUAUAUUGACUUUUAAGGUGGAAAGUGAUGUGAGCACACCCGGGGCAUCCUCGAAUGCACACCAAGGAUCUAUUGAGCUGCCAAAAGGUCCCAUGACCCGAGCUCGAACCAAGCAACUUCAAUAUGCUAUAUCAGCCUUUGUGAUGCGCAUUUGGGAAGAUAACCAGCUCUAUAACGUUGGAGGAGCUAAGAAUAACUCCUUGAAGACUCCAUGCACCAUUUUGCAAUCCGACCUCAGCUCCUCUUCAGCUCCCCCAUGCGCCAUUCAGUUCCCAUCAGCUCACUUGAGCUCGUUUUAGCUCGUUUGAGCUCAAAUUUAGCUCGUUUCAGUUCAUUCCUUUUUCAUUUCAAUAAAUUAAGUAUUAAUCUAGCUUAUAACUAAGUUUGUUACAGCUCAUGUCGAAUUCCCUAGCUCAAUUUAGCUCACUAAGUGUUUUUGACUAUUUGAGCUAGCUGAAUUUAUUAUAAGUUGACUUUAAUUAUUGUGUUCAAAUUGAGUUAGUGAUAUUAAGUUAUUUAGUUAUUAUUUUAAAUUAUAAUUAUAUGAAUAGUUGUGUGUUAUUUAAUUAUGUUAUUGAAUUAUGUAGGUUAGCCGAAUUUGGAAGAUACAUUCAUGGCAUUUAAUGCAAGGUGCAUGAACGGGAAUGUUCAUUGAACGAGAGGAUACAUGCAUGGACCGGUUCAAUGUUUGGAGGACAUACAUUCAUGUACAUGGAAGGUUAAUGCAUAUUGAAAGGUGCAUCUCCCUUGGAUGGCACACAUGCAUGAAUGGGGGUAAUCAAUGCAAGUGCAUGUACGGCUAGGUUCAAGGCCCCUUCCAAGUUCCAUGUACAACCGAUGCAUGUGGGAGGACCCUUGGAGUUUCCUAAGCACCUAUUCAGCCAAGAGACACUGAUACGAGUCACAAAAGCCCAAAUUCUUGAAGGCGAGGCCCAAUAAGCAAAUUCCCAGCCCAAUCAAGAAAUCCAUCCAUACUUAGUUGAAAAUCAGGCCAAAUUGUCAAAGUGGCCCAAGUUAUAAAGUUUUAUUUUUAUUUUUAUUUAUUUAUUUACUUAGUUUAAAUUUUUAUGUCAAUAUUCAGUCCAAGAGUCCCAGAUAAAAUGACCUUUGACCGAAUUUCCAUAUUAAAAUAAUUAGGAGUUUUUUUUAUUUUAGUUUUCUAAUUAGAUUAGGACUAGUUAUAAGGCCUAUUUAAAGGCAUUGCUGUCCACCUUGUUAAACACUUAUCAUUAUUAUUAAAAUUUUAGAUUUGUUGAGAGCAGAAUUUUUCUUUGAGUUUUCUCCAAGAUUUCUCUCUUGAGUUUUCUUUAGAAGUUGUUUUAACAAUCUUGUGAUUGUGGGAGCCAUCUUCAACCUUCUUCUUGCCAUUGAUAUUCUUUGGAGGGGAGAUUAGAGCCGUUUGAAGGGAGUUGUGAGAUCUUUCGAGAUUUCAAGGCUUCUUAGGACUUAUCUUUUAAUUUCUUACUGUCAAUUCUUUCUUUAUUUCUACUUGUGCUGAAUCAUUAUCUAAUCUAUUUUCUGUUCUUAUUGUGUUUUCAGCCUUUUUCUAUCUUAAGGAAUCAGCCCAAAAAUCCCCAAUUUCUAGGGUUUUUCCAUACUCUUUUUGGGUGAAAUUAGAUUGUCGAAAUUUGGGGAAAACUAUCUUGGUGUUCAAUUGGGCAGAAUCACAAUCUCCUUGAGGGUUUCAAGAACCCUAACACUUAUUUCUAUUCUCAAUUUGAUUCUUUGCUGAUUUGGGGAUUUUAUUUCAGAUCUGGAAAUUCAAAGUUCUAAUCUUUUAAUUUUUCUGUUUCGUUUCGGAUUUGAUUGUUUAGGGUUUUCGUAGGAGUUUCUCGUGACUUGGCAACUCGAUCUUGGUCCACGCGCAACCUCGUAUCAUUUGGUAUCAGAUUUUGGGCGUUUUGGGUGUUCUUGGUUGAUUUCUAAACUGAUCUCUAUUUUUUAAAGCAUAAACAGCAGUUUUACCCAGAAAAAUUGUUCAAAAAAAUUCAUUUGAGUGGGUAAACGUUGUCCGAUUGAUCUGAAAUUUUACAUACAUGUUUUUGGCACUGUGAUUGAAUAUUAAAAAAUUAUUCCCGCAAAAAUAUCAUUCAAAAAAGUCAAAAAAAUCAAAAAAAUACGAAAUUCAAUAAAAAUUUAAAAAAAGAUUCAGCGGAUCGAAUUUGGUGCCCAAAAUUUCCAGAUCAAAAAUUCAAUAUAUAAGGACACUCCAGAUUUAAUUUCGUGAUUUUUGGAGAUCGGGAACACCUCUAACGAAGUUGUCAAGUUACUCCGCAGUUUUUCGGGUUUUCUAUUUUCAGCAAUUUUUAUUGAUUCUUAGCUGUAGGUUUUCAUUUGUUUCCCUUUAUUCUUCCUUUACGUUAUCUAACACCUUCUUGUUUCUUGUGUUAGUAGGAUUUAAACGUGUGCACAACUUCUCCUCGGUGCAACACGAAUCAAUUGGUGUCUCGUCAGUUUUUGGCAUCCUAGUGCAAAUUAGGAUUCUUUGGUAGUUUGGUUCACACUCUCUAAUUGGUUGAUAUAAACUCUGAUAAAGAACUCACAAGAUUGAAUUCGACCUCAUUGAGAAUUUGAUUUUUUCUUUUUGAGUGAUUAACGGUGAGGUUUGAUAACUUUUAUUUUUGAGUGUUGAGUGUUUUGCAGGUUUUAAAAAAAAAUGUCUACAGGUGAUAAUACUAGUGACAUAUUUAAAAAAUUCCAACAACAGUUGGACGAACAGGCUGCUGCACUUCGAGCGUUGACUGCUACUAUCAAUGAGGUGCGGUUGAAUCAAGAGCCUCAAUAUCGAGAUCAAAUUAAAGACGAUGUGGAUAACCAGCCUCCUGCUCAUAGGCGCGCUCCUCGGCGUGUCCCUAGAACUGAUUAUGAUCUUCAUGAUCGUGGACAACCCCCUUUGGCAAAACCAAAGAGCGAGCAGCAAUGAGAACAUCUCUUUCAUACUCGCUGCCAUGUACAAGGUAAGCUUUGUAGAGUUAUUAUUGAUGGUGAAAGUUGCUCGAACGUAGCCAGCACGACGAUGGUGGAAAAGCUUUGCUUAACCACUACCAAGCAUCCACGACCUUAUCAACUACAAGGGCUUAGCAACGAAAGCCAAUUUAAGGUCACUCAACAAGUGCGCAUCGCCUUUUCUAUCGGUAAAUAUCAAGACGAAGUCGUGUGCGACGUAGUACCUAUUCAAGCCUACCAUUUAUUGCUAGGAGAACCAUGGCAACUGGAUCGAAAAGUCACUCACGAUGGUCGUACCAAUAGGUAUUCUUUCAAGCAUCAAGGAAAGAAACUUACCUUAGUGCCGCUCACUCCGGAACAAGUCCAUGAGGACCAAAUCAAACUGAGAAAUUCUGUUAAAACAAGUGAGGAAAAAGAAAAAAAGAAUGAAAAAGAGCAAAAAGAGAUUGAGAGUGAAAAGGAAUGUGAAACAGAAAAGAAAUUUGAAAAAGAAGUUGACGAAAGAAGAGAAAAUGAGUUAGAAAAAGAAACAAAAGAAAAAGACGAGGAAAGGCUAGUGAGGAAUGUUUCCACUAACCAAGAUAUGAUUUUUUCUUGUGUUGCUACUUUUCAGGUUCCUGAAAGAUCGAAAGAUAACUUUCAACUUCAAUACCUCUCAAAUGAAAGACGCUUUCAUACGAUCAACUUAGGCAAAGAUGAAAUCACACUACAUGAUCCCGAAGGUAAGCGAGGUAAGGAAAUUUUAGAAACCGAGUCCAGUGCAGAUUUGAAAAUUAUUGAUAAAACUUUUGGUGACUUAGUUCUUAAAAGAUCCCCUCAUUUUGAUCCGAUUAAUUGUUACUCUUCGAUUGUGGUUGAUAAAGUCAUUACGAAAAGAAGCGUGAUUUGUUAUUCUCUUGAUUUACCUUGUGUAAAAUCCUCGAAUUUGUCCAAAUCUAUUUUGGAGAAUAAGGUAACGAAAUUUUCCAAAUUUGUUUUCAAUUUAUAUUCAUGCCUUAAACAGUUUAUGUGGUUGUACAUGAAGUUUGAGUUCCAUUUGACAAAGGUUAACUCAACAACGGAGAUUCGACUACACUAUGCCCCCGAUGAGCGAAGGUUUGUUUUAAAUGAAAAAGGUAAAAUCGACCCUUAUUCUUCUGCUUAUCGAGGUAAGAUGCUUGAAACCUUUGAAACACUUUUGUACUCCUCGGAUAGUGAUAAAGAUCGUGUUGAUGAACACUUAGAUCGAAACGUGCUUGACUGUCCUAUUUUAUUUAUUCUAUCUGUUUUGAUGGUUGAUAAAAAGAUUCUUGUUUUUGAUAAUGCAUGUGUGAGUGAAUCUAUAGACCGUCGAUUAAUGCAUGGUAUUAUUAUGCAACUCUGUGAACCAUGUGAAUCUUUUCAAAUACCUACUUGUGACGAUUAUGUUUACCAUUUGAUUUAUUACUCGCAAUUUAUUCAUGGUUUGUGGGAACAAUGUGAGACGACUGAAUGCCUUAAAACAUGUCCAUCUUUGUUUCAAAUAUUUGACGAGGCAGUGGUGAGUAAAUUAGAUUGUUUGCAUGGUAAUCUGAAUCUGUCCAUUUACAUGCGUUAUACCUGUUCUGUUAUGCUUAUGAUUGGACUACAAGCUUGUUUCCGUUGCUAUUUACUAUCUCAUGGCUAUUCUUUUCAGUGGACUCAAUUGCCAUUAGUCCCGUUCGAUAGAGGAAAGUCGAGUUCAUUUGAUUUUUCAGAUUCGAGGACGAAUCUUUUUGAGGAAGGGGGGAAUGAUACGAGUCACAAAAGCCCAAAUUCUUGAAGGCGAGGCCCAAUAAGCAAAUUCCCAGCCCAAUCAAGAAAUCCAUCCAUACUUAGUUGAAAAUCAGGCCAAAUUGUCAAAGUGGCCCAAGUUAUAAAGUAUUAUUUUUAUUUUUAUUUAUUUAUUUAUUUACUUAGUUUAAAUUUUUAUGUCAAUAUUCAGUCCAAGAGUCCCAGAUAAAAUGACCUUUGACCGAAUUUCCAUAUUAAAAUAAUUAGGAGUUUUUUUUUAUUUUAGUUUUCUAAUUAGAUUAGGACUAGUUAUAAGGCCUAUUUAAAGGCAUGGCUGUCCACCUUGUUAAACACUUAUCAUUAUUAUUAAAAUUUCAGAUUUGUUGAGAGCAGAAUUUUUCUUUGAGUUUUCUCCAAGAUUUCUCUCUUGAGUUUUCUUUAGAAGUUGUUUUAACAAUCUUGUGAUUGUGGGAGCCAUCUUCAACCUUCUUUUUGCCAUUGAUAUUCUUUGGAGGGGAGAUUAGAGCCGUUUGAAGGGAGUUGUGAGAUCUUUCGAGAUUUCAAGGCUUCUUAGGACUUAUCUUUUAAUUUCUUACUGUCAAUUCUUUCUUUAUUUCUACUUGUGCUGAAUCAUUAUCUAAUCUAUUUUCUGUUCUUAUUGUGUUUUCAGCCUUUUUCUAUCUUAAGGAAUCAGCCCAAAAAUCCCCAAUUUCUAGGGUUUUUCCAUACUCUUUUUGGGUGAAAUUAGAUUGUCGAAAUUUGGGGAAAACUAUCUUGGUGUUCAAUUGGGCAGAAUCACAAUCUCCUUGAGGGUUUCAAGAACCCUAACACUUAUUUCUAUUCUCAAUUUGAUUCUUUGUUGAUUUGGGGAUUUUAUUUCAGAUCUGGAAAUUCAAAGUUCUAAUCUUUUAAUUUUUCUGUUUCAUUUCGGAUCUGAUUGUUUAGGGUUUUCGUAGGAGUUUCCCGUGACUUGGCAACUCGAUCUUGGUCCGCGCGCAACCCCGUAUCAGACACCCUUUGUGAUACGAGCAUGCCCCGUGAACUUUAUCGAGCAAGUCUGUCAAGCCGAGCAAUGACAUGUUGGCAAGCUGAUCCAAGCUCGUUUCCAGCUCCACGAGCUCCGUCCAGCUCAAAUCCAGCUUAUUCGAGCUCAAUCCAUCUUGCCUGAGCUAAACUGAGCUCACUCCUAGCUCACUUUCAACUCACGAGCUAAACCUUAGCUCAACUUCAGCUUAGGAGUUUAGCCUCAGCUCAACUUUAGCUCACGAGCUAAAGCUUAGCUCAUUUUAGUUUAAACUCGGUUUUGUCUUUAAUGCAUUAAAUAAAAAUUUGCACAUAUUUAUUUAAGCAUUAAACUUGUCUUAUAUUAAUAUUUGUUAUUAAUAUGCCAUAGUCAUUACAUAAAUUGAUUAUGUUCACAUAGCUGAAUUAAUGCAUGACAUUAAUGUGUUCACAUCAUGCCGAAUUUAUGAGUGUCCAUGAGAUAUCUUAAUGACUUGUUUAUUUCAUGUAGGUACAUCCCUUUGGACGGUACAAUGUAUGGAUGAAGAAACAUCUCUUUUGGGCAUUCAACACUCAUGAAUGAAGAAGUAUUAAAUGCUGGUGCAUGUACGGCUAGAUGCAAGGUUUCUACAAAUUCAUGCAUGUGUCUGAUACGCCCCGGCCUCGGUGAUGAGAGUCGAGUCGUUGAUGUACCCGAUCGUGAAUUGGAGUAAUAUCAAGGUUUGUCGAAGAUAGGUUAAGAAAGAAGGGAUAAAGGCUCAAAUUUAGUUCAAAAGGGGUUAUGAAGUGUAUUGAGGAUGAUAGGUGAAUGAAAACCAAGUAUUCAAGUUGACCUAACACAAUAUAAGUGUGUUAACCCGGGACUUAUACGAAUACUUAGGAAAGGUUAAAUGUUGUAUGGAUGGAAAACGAAUAAAAUGGAACCUUGACCCACUAUCAAAGAUGAUAGGAACCUCGGUAUAACUUGAACGCCACACUUUGGAUGCAAAGUGAUAAGUUCGGAUAAGAAGAAUGGGUUGACGCCACAAGGGUUACUUGAUAAGUCAAACGAGUCUUUGGAGAACAAUGAGAGUUGUAAACAAUCUCACAAAAUGUAAAAACAUUAAUUCAAGGUUCUUCUUCCCUUACAAUGAAAUUUAACACAUAUUUAUAGGCAAAACAAAAGGGUAGCCAAAUGGGUAAAAUUGGAAGCCAAAUUCGGCCAUGGUGCUUCCUCAAUUUGUUCCUUAAAUUAUGCAUGAUGUUUGCCAAAUGCUUCCUUAAAUUCUUCCAUGAAUUAUGCAUGAUGUUGGUCAAAUGCUUCCUCAAAUUCUUCCAUGAAUUAUGCAUGAUGUUGGCCAAAUGCUUCCUCAAAUUCUUCCAUGAAUUAUGCAUGAUGUUGGUCAAAUGCUUCCUCAAAUUCUUCCAUGAAUUAUGCAUGAUGUUGGUCAAAUGCUUCCUUAAUUUGUUCCACAAAUUAUGCAUGAUGUUGUCCACCUCUUCUUUGCCGUCCAUGUACAUUGUCCUAGCAAAUUCAACAAAUUUACUUAGCUUAAAUCUCACACAUUAAUUCGGCUGAACCAUGACAUGUUUAACAUUCUGCAUUUAAACAACAGCAGCAUUAAACAACAGCAGCAAAACACAUUAAUUAACAGCAUUAAAUUCGUCCAAAGUACACAAUAUCCUGCACAUUAAAUUCGUCUGGAAAAAUUAAUUGACAACAUAAAUUAAAUUUGUCUUAAAUUUAGACACACUUAAUUAACUAUUAGACAUCUUGAUACGGGGUUGCACGCAGACCAAGAUCGAGUUGCCAAGUCACGAGAAACUCCUACGAAAACCCUAAACAAUUAGAUCUGAAACGAAACAGAAAAUUAAAAGAUUAGAUUUUUAAAUUUUCAGAUCUGAAAUAAAAUCCCCAAAUCAACAAAUAAUAAAAUUGAGAAUAGAAAUAAGUGUUAGGGUUCUUGAAACCCUCAAGGAGAUUGUGAUUCUGCCCAAUUGAACACCAAGAUAGUUUUUCCCAAAUUUCGACAAUCUAAUUUCACCCAAAAAGAGUAUGGAAAAACCUUAGAAAUUGGGGAUUUUUGGGCUGAUUCCUUAAGAUAGAAAAAGGCUGAAAACACAAUAAGAACAGAAAAUAGAUUAGAUAAUGAUUUAGCACAAGUAGAAAUAAAGAAAUAAAACGAAACAGCAAGAAAUAAAGAAAGUCCUAAAGACCCUUGAAAUCCCGAAAGAUUUCACAAAUCCCUUCAAACGGCUCUAAUCUCUCCUCCAAAGAAUAUCAAUGGCAAGAAGAAGGUUGAAUAUGGCUCCCACAAUCAAAAGAUUGUUAAAACAACUUCUAAAGAAAACUCAAGAGAGAAAUCUUGGAGAAAACUCAAAGAAAAUUCUGCUCUCAACAAAUCUAAAAUUUUAAUAAUAAUGAUAAGUGUUUAACAAGGUGGACAGCCAUGCCUUUAAAUAGGCCUUAUAACUAGUCCUAAUCUAAUUAGAAAACUAAAAUAAAAAAAACUCCUAAUUAUUUUAAUAUGGAAAUUCGGUCAAAGGUCAUUUUAUCUGGGACUCUUGGACUGAAUAUGACAUAAAAAUUUAAACUAAGUAAAUAAAUAAAUAAAUAAAUAAAAAUAAAACUUUACAACUUGGGCCACUUUGACAAUUUGGCCUGAUUUUCAACUAAGUAUGGAUGGAUUUCUUGAUUGGGCUGGGAAUUUGCUUAUUGGGCCUCGCCUUCAAG
RNAcentral lists this long non-coding RNA (20819 nucleotides) under Gossypium barbadense (sea-island cotton). RNAcentral describes it as "long non-coding RNA (GBAR_LNC012411)". The record is from RNAcentral. Lineage: Eukaryota; Viridiplantae; Streptophyta; Magnoliopsida; Malvales; Malvaceae.